ACUUCAGUAGCAUCCGCCAUUGCAACUCAGCUAGAGCUGUCAAAGCUUAGACUGAAACACGCCAAAUGUUCUGUUGUUGGCUGCAACAACGAGCACAACAGUCUAUUUUCUCUCCCACCACAGGAGGAUAGAAGGAAUCAAUGGCCCGUUUUUAUUUAUGACAACCAGGUUCCUGCAGUAGCUAAUGCUAACGCGUUAAUCUGUGCUAACCAUUUUGCCCUUUACUGCUUCACCAACACGGGUCAGUUCAACGCUGGAUAUGCCUCCAAACUGAUUCUUAGGGUUGGAGCCAGACCCACUAUACUUGGCCAAGCUACAGCAAACGUGCCAUGAUGGGGAACUUCAUUAGCAGUGCCAAAGAAAGCAGGAUGAGAUGCAACAUCACCUUGCGAAGGUAGUUCGCACUCCACAGGAGGCAAACAACCUCUUUGUGGAAUUUCACGCGAGUGCUAUUGGGGCUCAGUGUGGAAUUGACAAAACCAUGAGCGCAAUUCUUCAACGUUAUUAUUGGCCUGGAAUGAAGUCAGACAUCACAAAAUGGAUAGCACAGUGUGAUGCAUGUCAGAGAAAGCGGGUCUCCUUAAAGGAGAAGACUCAGUAUAAACCCAUAGAGGUGUCAGAGCCAUUUGAACUUGUGGGGAUGGACCUUGUGGGGAAGUUAAAAUGCUCCAACAAUGGCCACAUGUAUAUGUGUGUCAUGGUGGACUACUUCACAAAAUGGCUUGAAGUCUAUCCUCUGAAAAGUAGCAGAGGAAGUGACUGAAUGUAUCAUGGACUUUUUUUUACAAGUACGGUGCACCAAAACGUAUUCUGACUGACCGGGGCAAAGAAUUUAUCAACAAAGCCAACCUGGACUUGUGUGAAAAGCUUGGCAUUGCCAGAAGCCUCUGUGCACCAUACCACCCACAAACAAAUGGCUUGGUGGAAAAGCUUAAUGGCACCAUUCAAGGAGCUUUGAAAAAAAUUGUGCAAGACCAUCCAAGUGACUGGGACUGUUACUUAAAGCCCACAGUGUUUGGAUUACGGACCAAAAAACAAAUAACAACAAGAUAUUCCCCAUACUUUUUAAUGUAUGGAAGGGAGGCCCGUUACCCAUCAGGAAUUCCAGAAAAGUUUCAGAUAAGUGAGGAACACAUCCAUGUAUUGGCUGGGAAUGAAGAAUGCACUACAAACCUCAAGGACGUGUAUGCCAAGGUGGAAGCCAACAUUGCAGAAGUACAAGAAAGGGUGCGGAAGAGGAAAUUGUCUGUAGGAGAAGAUGAUGGCUUUGCAGUGGGGGACCAAGUGCUCAGAAAAAACAUUCGGAAAGAGCAAAGAAAGGGGGGGUAACUGGAAUGUGAUCAAUUUGGUCCUUUUAGAAUCAGUAACAUUAAGGGUAAAAGUGCAGAUCUACUGACUAAAAAAGGAAAGACCAUUGAAAAAAUUAACAUUGAUCAUCUGAAAAGAUAUGUGGAGCCACAACCCAGAAUUCCUGCAAAAUGGAUUGCUGCAGCCUCCGCUGCAACACUGCCGUCCACCCCCUCCACAUGUUCCGUUCUACAGUCGCCUACUUCUCCUCCACUGCCGUUCAGCCCCUCCACAUGUGCUGUUCUACAGUCGCCUCCUUCUCCUCCACUGCUGUCCAGCCCCUCCACAUGUGCUGUUCUACAGUCGCCUCCUUCUCCUCAAACACUGCCGUCCAGCCCCUCCACAUGUGCCGUUCUACAGUUGCCUACUUCUCCUCAAACAUUGCAGUUCUCCACAUGUGCCGUUCUACAGUUGCCUAC
Long non-coding RNA from Centropristis striata (black sea bass), 1766 nucleotides. RefSeq lists it as uncharacterized. The transcript is spliced from 7 exons. NCBI's taxonomy places the organism in Eukaryota, Metazoa, Chordata, Actinopteri, Perciformes, Serranidae. The record is from RefSeq and is a predicted model, not a curated record.